UGUAACAUACCGAACUUCACAAAUCAUGAAGUCACGGUGUACAUUUAAAUGGUUCCGGUGCGGUUGCGGUGGAAUGUAACAUACCGGAUUUUAAAUAUAAAAGUGAAAAUAAAUAAAAAAUAGUAUGAGAUACUAUUUUAUUGGGUUUAGAGAAGUGAAAUAUUGAUUGGGAAAGACCUGUGCUGAAAUCGGAGCGAAAACAAAAGAUUUAGAAUUUUCUGUGAGAAACGGGGCAGAUAU
This 240-nucleotide long non-coding RNA is filed under the name Ananas comosus (pineapple). RNAcentral describes it as "long non-coding RNA (ACOM_LNC029369)". The record is from RNAcentral. Lineage: Eukaryota; Viridiplantae; Streptophyta; Magnoliopsida; Poales; Bromeliaceae.